RNAcentral lists this non-coding RNA (31 nucleotides) under Homo sapiens (human). Lineage: Eukaryota; Metazoa; Chordata; Mammalia; Primates; Hominidae. The record is from RNAcentral.
UGCAUGUUUGCAAGGCAUUUCCAAGCCCACA